GGCUGUCAAUGCGUCUAACCUGCUUCUGGUUCAAGCCUGAGAUCUCUGCUUCCUGAUUGGCCAAGAUGUGGGAAGCUUCCAUUUCUGGCUCCUGACAACAUGGACUAUUUCCUGUUGCUGCAUCUUACCAUGGUUGACUGAAAUCCCUCUGAAACGUGGGGUCAGAGUACAUUCUUCGCCUGUGAAGUCGCUUUUAUCAGGUUAUCGUCACAGCAAGGAGAAAGAAAGAAGUAUUAUAUUUAUUAACAUCCAAAGACCUGCUAUGAUCUGAGGUGGCUGUUGGGAAAUUCUGAAUUGUGCCAGUUGAAUAUAUCGACUGGCCAUUCCGCCAAUAGAACAGUCCUUCUGGAACAGAAUUUCAGUCAGAAAGUGAAGAGUUUAGUUUCACCAUGUUCCUUGCCUCGGUGUGUUCCCUGACCGCAGGCCCCAAAGCAGCAGCCCGUCUAAUCACAGAGAUCUGAUCAAGGCAGACCUCCAAAAUCAAGAACCAGAACG
Alexandromys fortis (reed vole) is the source of this 495-nucleotide long non-coding RNA. RefSeq lists it as uncharacterized. NCBI's taxonomy places the organism in Eukaryota, Metazoa, Chordata, Mammalia, Rodentia, Cricetidae. The transcript has 3 exons. The record is from RefSeq and is a predicted model, not a curated record.